UGUUAAGUGUGAUAACUCACAUUACAAACGGUUUGUUUGUCCCACGGAAGAAUCGAAACCAAAUCGAUCACUUCGCAGUUGACUCCAAACUGUUUCUUGGCCAUGUCGGCCACUUCUGUCAGCACGUGAAUUUGGGUUCCCCAACCGAUUAACGUGACAUCGCUUCCGGCACGCAGAAUAUCGGCUUUUCCGAUAGGACUUUCAAAGGCAGCCACCGGAACUUCCUCGACAGCUGCUCGGUACAAAGUUUUCGGUUCGAAUACAAUGCACGGAUCCUUUUCGCGGAUGCAUGACAACAGCAAGCCCUUGGCCUUAUUUGGUCCCCUCGGAACGACAAUCUUCAAACCAGGUGUGUGGGCAAAGUACGCUUCCGGGCUCUGCGAAUGAUAACAAGCACCAUGACCUACAGCUCCACUAGGUGCCCGGAAUGUGAGCGAUCCACAGUCGUACAAAUUUCCGCUGCGAUACCGGUACUUGGCCGCUUCGUUAACAAUCUGAUCGAAUGCUGGGAACAUGUAAUCAGCAAACUGCAACUCAGCGAUGGCCGUUGCUCCGGUGUUCGCAACACCGAUAGCGAAUCCGGCUAUUCCCUGCUCGCAGAGUGGGGUAUUGAAUACCCGAUCUUUGCCGUACUUGGCUUGCAAGUUCAUCGAGCAACGAAAAACUCCUCCAAAGGCCACAUCUUCACCGAAAACAAGAGCCGAGCUAUCUCGUUGCAUUGCAAGAUCCAGAGCAUUGUUGAUGGCCUGAUGGAGAAACAAAUUACCUUACAAUCAUCUGAUUCAGAGAGCAAAUAAAUUAAAUUACCUGGAACAUAUUCAUCUUUUGAGUUGGUCCAGCUACGGGUGCUUUGGCAUCCGGUUGGUACACGAAGUGUGACGAUGCACGGACAAAGUCCUUAGCACCAGAAUUCGCCGAUUGUUUACAUCUUGCCAAGGCGGAACCGCUUAGUCUGAGGAACCUGCUGCUCAUGAUAGUGAUUGAUGGUUUACGAUCAAAGGACCUGUUACGAAAAAUAAACCAAAACACCAAUCGUUAAUCAACAAUUACGUUACAAUACGAUUAAGAAACAUCGGUCGGUCAAUAGUUUCGCGUGUGGUAACAGAUUUGCGAAAUUGGCUCAUUACCAAUGCGGCCAAGAUUGACUAGAAUCAGUGACUAGGUUUCACUACUGCCAAUUUAAACUUUAAUCGUCACGCGUUAUGUAACAAAAUAACAGGUGGCAAUCAAGCAGGACAGAUUAUUCGGUGUCAACAAAUAGUUUUAGUCAAAAAUCAUGUGUAGUAUACCCUCAAUUCUUAAGGUAAGGUACUGGAGAAGAUUCUAAUCUAAAAAUGUUACAAAUUACCCUAAAAGAAACCGAAAACUUACCCUGCGAUACAGCACACGAUGAUGUUAUCAAGCCUAGUCCACACUCGGCAACUUGAAAUGCGAUUUCGGUUGCUGAGACUUGUUUAUGUUUACAUCUUGGUUGCUGAAUGUCUCCCAUACUAGUCGGGAGACUUGAGACGAGUAUCUCAUCAAAUGUAAACAAAAACAAGUCUCAGCAACCGAAAUCGCAGUCCAAGUAGCCUAGUGUGGACUAGGCUUCAGCUUUUGGACAAAUAUUUUUGUUUACAUCGCCAUGCGUAGGGAACGUAACGGAAAACGGAACUGGAGUGGAGUCCACUGAACUGAACCAAAUCGCUUCAUCGCUUUUGAAAGCGCUCCUCGUUUGGUAUAUAUAAAUCCGUUUUGCAUAAAUCACAACCCUGAUUGUUGUUUACACGUCAAAUAAAAAUUCUAGAAACCAUGCAGGAAACAUUUCGUUUAACUCAAGAAAAAUUAUCAAUUGAGACUAUAAAUUGAUCAUUUCCGACUAAGUUGACCAUUCUAAAUUGAUCUCUAAUUUUAAAUCAAUUGAGUACCAAUUGUUUUCGAUAUUGUUUCCUUCUAUGUUGGCCCCGAAUUUUCCGUAGAGACUCGUAUACUAUAGUGUCCAUUUCAAUUCCUGAUUCUUUCGAGAAGGUCGAAGAGCUACUUCCGAAUCAAUAACCCGGGCUAGUUUGAAAAAAAAACUGGACCAGUUUCUUUGAACGUUUGAAAAUCGUCCAUUUCUAGAAAAGACGUGCAUAACAAAUCCACUUUUAAUGUGGUUAUUUCAUAAGACCAAGCCCACCCAAUGGUUGCUAAACCACGAAUCGAGCACAUUCAGCAACAUUAGUGAUAUGAAUAAGGUUUAGCAAUUGCUUCGGUAGCUUUUACUUAGCUCGAAAUCAAUCAAAGCAAAAGUUCAAAGCAUUUGCUUAGUUUGGUAUGAAUAAACAUUUGCUUAGCGGAUGUGUACUAAAGUCUUAGAACAUAGCUUUUGCUUCGAAAAAUAGAGCUAUCCAACCAGCAGAAUCUGAAGUUUUCUAAAGUAAAAUGAAAGAAGACGAUCAGAAAAUUGAAAAGUACGGCUAAAGUAGCCUUGAAGUCGACGAAGCGGGUGGUGCGUGUAAGAACGACCGGAAUUUUUUGUUAAUGCGUGCUCGUAUGUUGAUGUUUAAAGAAAAAUGAAUACAUAUUCGAAUAUUGUCAAACAAAAAAUGGCCUAACUUUAAUAUUUAUCAUAAGCUCUCCCACAUGUAUUCGGAUCGGGAUAAUCCGAUGUAUAAAAAAAAUAGGCAAUAGGCGCGCAUUUUAAUUUAGAUUUUUUUUAAAUCUUAGGAUUAUAAAAAAUUAUUAAAAAUGAGAGAUCUGUAUAAUGUUUUAAAUUAUUACAAUUUAUUUCUUACUUUGAGCCAAUUGGGACUUCUUCCACUAUAGCCGGAUUUUUUUUUUAAUUUGAAAUAUUUACUAAUUGAUUUGUUGAUUGUCAUCUUAGACGAAUGAUUUCAUACAACGACAGGAAUAUGAAAAAAGUUGGGUUAUCACUUCGACUUUUCUUUAUCCAUGUUGAAAAUACCUUAUUGAAUUGUUUUGAAGUGAAAUAUUGCUAAUUUGAUAAGUUCAUGACGUUAUUAAAGAAUUUUUUAUUGGAAAAGUCUGCUACCGAGCAUGCUUAGAAAAUAAAGCAAUUACUAUGAGAUUUGUCGAGCAAUUGCUUCAGAUUUGAGCUUUAUUCAUACCAAACUAGCUUGUUCUAAAAGUAAAAGCUCCUGACUGAGAAAACAGCUGUCAAAAAAAACUUUAUUCAUAACAACCGAAGCAAUUGCUUUAAGCGACUGCUCGAUUCAGUUUAGCAAAAGCAAUUACUAAGUUUUUUUCAUACCACCCCAUAUCUAUCAACCGAUCAUCGCACCAGCAGUCGCUAACUUGAUUCGAGAAAUAGCAUUCGAGCAGUAGGUUGUUACAGGAUGCGUUUAUGUAGCAACCCGGUAGCAACGCAGCCGGUCGUCGCUAUCAGAAAAUAAACAAAUACAAAUACCAAUCUGGAUGGCAACAAUGGGUGCGAAAAUCAGUAAGUAGAUAAAAACGCAACCCAUCAAACCAUCUAAAAUACCGAUCGAAAUGGCAACGCCCGGUGGGCUUGGUCUAAAUAAAAAGUUGAUUUUUUUUUUCAAAGUUACCUUCCAUGGAUAACAAUAAAUCUUAGCUCAAAUUACCCACAUUACAAACUACACCUCUGCAAUAAAUCCGUUUUCUGAUUGUCCCAAAACAACUUAAAAUUCUCUCAAUCGCAUCAUCUUCGUUGAUGAAGAUGAGAGUCGUUCGCUGGUUGGCAGGGCUGCCAACUUUUUUUCUGAAAUUCAGGGAGCUUGAAAAUAAAAAUGCCUUUUUCGAUCACCGUUGUAAAAUGUUGUGGAACUGUUACACACUAACGUUCAUGAUUCUUUUAAAUUUGCUACAUGCUCAGUGUCACUUCAACCUUAAAAUGGUUGACUACUCAUAUCCACCUUAAAUCAUUGGACUUCUUGGCUGGCCUUCAGUUAAUAUCGAAAAACAUCAUUUAAAUAUCAUUUGAAAUAUCAUUAUCGGAAAAACUGGUUAAACUAUUUACUUAAUAAUUUGUUUGAUUUUUCAUCAUUUAACAAUAAAUUUAGAAAUAAUAUUAUUUUUAAAAAUCAGGACAAAUUAGGACAAUUUAAGGGUCAUUUUUGAAAAAUCAGGACAAUGGCCCUUGUCGGCAAGCGCCUGCACAUAACGACCGCUUGGAGCCGCCACUAGUUCCCUCUCAAUGGAGAGAGAGUCUGUCGAAAGAGAGAAAAUUUUAUCCGUUUUGUUAUGAUCUUGAUUUUUUGUUUUGAUUCUACAUAUAAACUUGGAACACAGCAGCAUAAAAAACCAAAAUUCAACCUCAUUUUUUUACAAUUCAGUUUUUGGUAAGUUUCCGAAGGUUUUUCUAAGAAUUUUCUACGAUUUAGCAUUAAAUUUUAAAUUUUUCAUCAACAUAUUUUCUUAUUUUAAGUUUAACUACACCGGAUGUAACGGACGUUCUGUUAAGCAACUGGUCACAACAAUUUACUCGUUUGGUACGUGUUAGGUGUUGCCUCGUCCUGCAGCAAAAUGCUCUUCCAAAAGAAUCGGAUUAUAUUUGCAGCUUUGAGAGGUUAAGCAGAGUGUGGAUCUGACCGCGGGUUUCCAGUUGGAUGUGGCGAUAGUUGUAGAGAGUUGACGGAAAAAAAGUUCCCAUCUAAUUUAUCUUAAUGCUAACAAACCGCACCAGAUGACUUUGACGUUUCGGUUUUGAGCUGCUGGCUACAACGAUUUCUCCAUUUGGUUCAAUAUCCGGAGCCGAAUAUGUUGCCAAGAAAUACAUUUUGGUAAACAGCACCGAAUAUGGGACAUUUUUUCCUGCACAGAUCGGAACAUGCCACAGUAACAUAAGCCGGCCGCUUCAUGGAUGCGGCAAGCAAAUCAAGCCGAAAAAUUAUAAUACGAAUCGAGAUCGCAGAGUGUUUGAAUUGCUGUUUAGAAACGUGAAUAACAAAAUGAACAAUAAAGUUUAUUUUUAAAA
Uranotaenia lowii is the source of this 4918-nucleotide long non-coding RNA. RefSeq lists it as uncharacterized. The transcript is spliced from 2 exons. Lineage: Eukaryota; Metazoa; Arthropoda; Insecta; Diptera; Culicidae. The record is from RefSeq and is a predicted model, not a curated record.